UCAAUGUAGAGACUCAAAACCUAUCUUGCAUGUAAUAGGUUAGACACUAUCAAUAUACACCAUAUAGAGUGGACGUACACCAAUUUUGGGUGGAACCACUAUAAAAUCUUGUGUUCUUUUUCUCUCCAAAAUCACUAUCUAUCGUGUGAGUAUUGAUCUAGAUUCAGAUCUAGAUCAAAGAGAGUGAUCUGGUAAUAACAAGUGGUAUCAGAACCUAGGUUACUGUAGCGGAGGGUAUUGUAGCGGCGAGUUACUAUAGCAGCGGAAUACUGUAGCAACGCACACACUGUAGCAAUGGGAGGAGAAGGGAAGAUCAGGAUUGAGAAAUUCGAUGUCAAGGACUUCAUGUAUUGGAUGAUGCAGAUUGAGGACUACCUGUACCAACGCAAAUUGUAUCGACCACUCAAGGGGGUGAAACCAGAUGAGAUGAUCAAUGAUUGCAGAUGGAUAGGAUGGCUCUAAGUGUGGUGAGAUUAAGUCUGACCAGAUAUGUUGCUCUUGCUUAUGCUGCUGAGAAGACUACUAUGGGGCUGAUCAGCAAGCUUAAGGGUAUGUAUGAGAAACCAUCAGCUUCCAAUCAGGUAUUCUUAAUAAGGAAAUUAUUCAAUUUGGUGCUAAAAGAAGGUGACUCAGUCACAAAACAUAUUAAUAUGUUUACUGCAAUGAUCGGGCAAUCAUCCUCUAUUAACAUUGUCUUUGAGGACAAGUUACAUGCUCUUAUAUUGCUAUCUUCACUACCUGAUAGUUGGGCAGGACUGAUCACUUCGGUAAGUAGUGCAAUGUCCAAGGAGGAGUUGAAAUUAGAAGAUGUGAAUGAUCUUCUAUUGGGAGAAGAAUUGAGGAGGAAGAAUAGUAGCCAUCAAGGAGCAAGUUCCUCAGCUUUGUUAGCUGAAUCAUCUGGAAGGCGCAGAUCACAUUCAAAGUCUGGUAGGACAGGGAACAGAUCUAAAUCCAGAGGUGCUAACAGAGCAAGAAAUGCUGUUUGCUGGAAUUAUGACAGCAAGGGUUACUUUAAGAGAUUGCAAGACUCCUCUUAAGAAGAAAGGCAAGGAGAAGGAGUAUGAAACUCUUGGGAGCUGCUCUGAAAAUUCUGAUGAAGAAGUGCUGAUUUGUUGUGUUAAUUCUGAGGUAGAAUCAUGGAUGUUAUAUUCUGAAGCAUCAUUUCAUUCAACAUUUCAGAAGGAGCAGUUGAAAAAUUAUUACUUCACAGAUCUGAAGGUGUAUUUAGCAAAUGGAUCUGCAUUGGAUGUUUUAAACAGAGGAGAAGUUCACAUCAAGAUAAAUCUAGGGUUGUGGAUUUUGAAGGAUGUGAGGUAUAUCUCUGGUCUGUCCAGACAAUUGAUAUCUGUGAGUCAGCUAGACAAGGAGGGCUACCAUGCCACCUUUGCAAAUAAUUCUUGGAAAAUUUCAAAGGAAAUCAGAAUUGUGGCUAAGGGGUCUAAAACAGGUACACUUUACUUAGUGCCUUCAGAGACUGAUGUCAUUUCUGUUGUAUCCAACAAGGAGGAGGACUCCACACUUUGGCACAAAAGGAUGGGACACAUCAGUGAAAGAGGAUUGAAGAAAUUACAAGUUGCUGGAAAGUUUCCAAAACUGAAAUCUGUCAGUUUGAAAGUCUGUGAGGACUGCAUAUUUAAAAAACAAAAGGCUGUGAAGUUUUCCAAACAGAAAAAAAUUCCGAAGGAGCAAAAUCUGGAGAGAAGCACUUGAAAGCAGUGAAAUGGAUUCUGAGAUAUCUUCAAAAUACAUUGGACAUUGGAUUGUGCUUUACUAAGGAGGUUGUGGUGCUUGAAGGCUACUGUGAUUCAGAUUUAGGAGGGGACUUGGAUACAAGCAGAAGUACAUCAGGAUACAUCUUUUGCAUUGAAGGCACAGCUGUGAGUUGGAGAUCCAAAUUGCAAGGUCAUGUGUCAUUGUCAACUACUGAGGCAGAAUACGUAGCUGCAACAGAAGCCACCAAGGAAAAAAUCUGGUUGGAAAAUUUGCUUACAGAGCUGGGGUUUGUGCAGAAAAAAUCAGUACUACAUUGUGAUAGCCAAAGUGCAAUCUACCUGGCUAAAAAUCCUAAAUUUCACUCCAAGUCCAAGCACAUCAGGCACCAAAUACCAUUUCAUUAGGGAACUCAUUGAGAAGGGUGAAUUGGAGCUGAGGAAGAUUUCUGGAGACCAAAAUGCAGCAAAUAUGCUUACAAAAAUCAUGAACAUUGCAAAACUAAGGCUAUGCAUGGCCUUAGUGAACCUUCGAGAUCAUUGAUGAAGGAAUGGUGUGGUGGUGUGAACAGUCUCCAAGUGGGAGAUUGUUGAGGUUUAAGUCACUUGGGAGAUAUAAGGAGUGUGGAUACUGUUUUGGUUUAAUUGGUACCCGUUAAUGGGCCAAUUAAGGAGUCAUUAUCUUGGACCGGCCCAAGAUAAUAACACUAUAUAUAUAUAUAUCUCAAUGUAGAGACUCAAAACCUAUCUUCCAUGUAAUAGGUUAGACACUAUCAAUAUACACCAUAUAGAGUGGACGUACACCAAUUUUGGGUGGAACCACUAUAAAAUCUUGUGUUCUUUUUCUCUCCAAAAUCACUAUCUAUCGUGUGAGUAUUGAUCUAGAUUCAGAUCUAGAUCAAAGAGAGUGAUCUGGUAAUAACAAAAGGAAAGCAGGGAGAUUUGGAGCAACGAUGGUCCAAAGUGUUGUACAUAUCUAUCAUGAGUUGAAGGAUUAUGCCUUGCGGAUCUUGGGAUUUUGAUGUUUGGCAUCUAGUUGCGAAAGAAAUUGGAGUACUUUCGCACAUGUAAAUAACUUUCACUUAACCUACUUUCGUGAAAUGAUCAUGAAAGGAUAAGUUGUGAAGUAGAAACCGGAUGACUAUUGAUCUACUAGACCUACUAGUCUUAGUCAACUACAACGUGAAGUUGUCGGAACACUUUGAAACAAACAAGUUGUUGAUUGAAGAUGGUGCUGAGAAAUAUGAUGCCAUUAGAAUUUACGAGCUUAUCCUAAGUGAAUGGAUCACUGGUUUGAUGGAGCAGCUAAUGAAUUCUAUGACAAAGAGACAAAGCUUAGAUGGGCAGAGGUAGAGGAAGAGGCUGGUGCAACUUGGCGUCCGGGGUCAUCUACUAGGAGUGCUCAGACUGUACCUGAUGUAGGGAGAAUCCCUGGAAAUCAGAUUAAAAAAGAAAUGGAGAAGAAGAAUAAGGAAG
RNAcentral lists this long non-coding RNA (3185 nucleotides) under Zostera marina. RNAcentral's name for it is "long non-coding RNA (ZMAR_LNC000603)". The record is from RNAcentral. Lineage: Eukaryota; Viridiplantae; Streptophyta; Magnoliopsida; Alismatales; Zosteraceae.